CUACGGGGGGCUGCAGUGAGGAAUAUUGCGCAAUGGACGAAAGUCUGACGCAGCAACGCCGCGUGGGGGAUGAAGCACUAUGGUGUGUAAACCUCUGUAGACAGGGAAGAACGGCAUUGAUUCGUAAGGGUCAGUGUGUGACGGUACCUGUAAAGUAAGCUCCGGCUAACUCCGUGCCAGCAGCCGCGGUAAUACGGGGGGAGCAAGCGUUGUCCGGAAUUACUGGGCGUAAAGGGCGUGUAGGUGGGCUGGUCAGUCAGAUGUGAAAGCCCGCGGCUUAACCGCGGAACUGCAUUUGAAACUACCAGUCUUGAGUGCGAGAGAGGGUAGUGGAAUUCCCAGUGUAGCGGUGAAAUGCGUAGAUAUUGGGAAGAACACCAGUAGCGAAGGCGGCUACCUGGCUCGCAACUGACGCUAAUGCGCGAAAGCGUGGGGAGCAAACAGGAUUAGAUACCCCGGUAGUC
This 464-nucleotide ribosomal RNA is filed under the name uncultured bacterium. RNAcentral describes it as "partial 16S ribosomal RNA". It matches the Rfam family "Bacterial small subunit ribosomal RNA", at positions 339 to 795 of the family's 1533-position model. The record is from RNAcentral.